GCGGCGUGCUUAAGGGUAUGCAAGUCGAACGAAGAUUAAAGGGUAGCAAUAUCUUUUAAUUUUAGUGGCAAACGGGUGAGUAAUGCGUAGACAAUCUACCCUUAACAUUGGGAUAACUUUGCGAAAGUAAGGCUAAUACCAUGUGUGAUGCAUAAGUGAAACUCUUAUGUUUUAAAGAAGCAAUUCGGUUAAGGAUGAGUCUGCGUCCUAUCAGCUAGUUGGUAAGGUAAAGGCUUACCAAGGCGACGACGGGUAGCUGGUCUGAGAGGAUGAUCAGCCACAUUGGAACUGCGACACGGUCCAAACUCCUACGGGAGGCAGCAACCAGGAAUAUUGCGCAAUGGGGGAAACCCUGACGCAGCGACGCCGCGUGGAGGAAGAAGGUCUUCGGAUUGUAAACUCCUUUUUACAGGAAUAAUAAUGAUAGUACCUGUAGAAUAAGUAACUGCUAACUACGUGCCAGCAGCAGCGGUGAUACGUAGGUUACGAGCGUUAUCCGGAAUUACUGGGCGUAAAGAGAUGCGUAGGUGUUUUGGUAAGUUUUCGGUCAAAUCCUUUA
This 559-nucleotide ribosomal RNA is filed under the name uncultured bacterium. RNAcentral's name for it is "bacterial SSU rRNA". It matches the Rfam family "Bacterial small subunit ribosomal RNA", at positions 39 to 606 of the family's 1533-position model. The record is from RNAcentral.